Non-coding RNA from Choiromyces venosus 120613-1, 86 nucleotides. Lineage: Eukaryota; Fungi; Ascomycota; Pezizomycetes; Pezizales; Tuberaceae. The record is from the annotation of a GenBank genome assembly.
GCUCUGGUGGCUAAGUUGGUAAGGCGCCACACUAGUAUUCGCAAUACGAGAUAUGGAGAUCCUCGGUUCAACUCCGAGUCAGAGCA